Molecule: ribosomal RNA, 322 nt
Filed under: Protaspa sp.
Lineage: Eukaryota; Cercozoa; Thecofilosea; Cryomonadida; Protaspidae
Description: SSU rRNA
Rfam family: Eukaryotic small subunit ribosomal RNA (bases 107-322)
Source: RNAcentral
GAUUUCUGAUAUGAUACACUUAGCCCGCUGCGGUUACGUAUGUGAGUGCUGAUGUGUGUCUAUCAUCCUUCUAGAAAACAUAUCUACUCUUAACUGAGCCGGGUAUGCAAUCUAGAUCUUUUACUUUGAAAAAAUUAGAGUGUUUAAAGCAGGCUUUUGCUAUGAAUACAUUAGCAUGGAAUAAUAAUCUAGGACUUCGGUUCUAUUUUGUUGGUUUCUAUAACUGAAGUAAUGAUUGAUAGGGAUAGUUGGGGGUGCUAGUAUUGGCCGGCCAGAGGUGAAAUUCUUGGAUUCGGUCAAGACUAACUUAUGCGAAAGCAUU